ACCACCAUCUGUCUUAUUUUACAUGAACCUUUGAGAAAUUUGAAAUAAAUCUUACUGAAAUCAGUCUUGUUCACGGUUAGUAUUUCCGCGGUUUUCAUCAACGAAUUCGCUGAGUAACGAAUGUUUAAAACGAUGUAAAAGUGCACAGUGCGUGUAAAACAAUGUUCUAGCUAAUCUCGCUAGUUACAUUGACAAAUUUUCGCUUUCCUCGCCGUUCGCGCGAGUCGAAAAGUUAACCGCAUUUAUUUCCGCGGAGUGUCGAAAUUUGUACAUCAUACACGGUAUUUCGUUGUUGUUUUUCGUCGUUGUUAAAAGUAAAAAAUGCGUAUCGUGUUUAUAUCAAAUAUCGCGGACGCAUAUGUAUGAAAUGCGAUCGACAAAGGAAGUUGAGCGGACGAUGAAUAUUUUUCUGUCACAGAUACAACGGCAAGACGGAUAAUUCGAUCUGAUUUGUCAAGUACGUGUCAAUUUUCUAACUGGCUGUGGAAAACAUAUUUGGCUCUGUAGCACACAUAAAAGUCUACAUAAAAGUAACAUAAUGCCGUGUAGCAUCGGCCUACGCUAUGCAAAGGAACAAUUCUCGGAACGGCUUGGCUCUAUGGAUUCCUAGAAAUCGUGAAAUAUGUUGUGUUUACAAACAUCGGCAAUGUAGUGAAGUUGAGCGGACGAUGAAUAUUUUUCUAUCACAGAUACAACAGCGUCGGAUAAUCGGUUAGAUUUGUCAAGCACGUAUUCGAUUUUCUAACUGGCUGUGGAAAACAUAUUUGACUCUGUAGCCACAUAAAAGUCUACAUAAAAGAAACAUAAUAGUGCCGCACGGCAUCGGCUUGUGCUGCGGUAGUAAACAAUUCUCGGAAUACCUCGGCUUUGUAUACAGAUUCCUAGAAAUAGUGAAAUACAUUGUGUUUAUAAACAUCGGCAAUGUAGGGACAAUUUGUCGCGUUCCUAUCCAUAUGUUAGUUAGCGCUCACAGAUGUCGCAGCGUUCGUUAAAAGUUCUGUUCCUACGGGGAUUACACGAAUCUCAACACGGGCGCGCCAGACGCUCUCUUCGCGAUAUUACGUCUUCAUUUCUGAUUUUGCUAGUUCAAACUAAGUACGCGAGGUAACAAAUAUUUGGUAGUGCUCCAAUGCGAUAGCGUCGCGCGAAAGUGAUUGUGUGUAAAACAGCGCGUGUUGUGAUCAAACUCGUUCGCGGAUACAUUGACAAAUUUUCACGAUCGCCGGCUUUCACGUUUUUCGUCGUGCGCAUUCGAAUCGAGAAGUUAACCGCAUCUGUUUCGCGUAGUACCGAAUGGCGAAUUUGAGCAUCGUACGCCGACGUUGCUAUUGUUAGCGUAAUUAGCGGUGAGAAGCCCAUAUCGUGUCUAUAUCAAAUAUUACAAGCGUGGAUAGGAUUUAGCAAACAAGGUAAGCCGAGCGGCCGAAUCCUUAGUUUCUACUACGCGGAUAUAAUGGCGGGGCAUCCGAUAAUUUGAUCAGAUUUAUCAAGUAUCCAAUCUCGUAGCUUUUCAUCGUAGAAAACGUUUUAUCUUGUAAUGCACACAAAAGCCGUGUUAUCUAGAAACAUUGCAUGGCUCCGGCCGAACGAUCUAUACAAGUACAUUUCUCAGCACGGAUUCCUGGAAAUACAUAAAUUUUAAAGAUAUCGGUAAUUUAGGGAUGAUAUAUUGUGUACUUAUCCAAAUAUAAAUUAGCACAUACAGGUGUCGCGGCGUUCGUUAAAAGUGUAAGUUUCCUUAGCGUAUGCUCAGUCAGGAAGUAGAAUCGCUGAAGGCGUUAAUUUACGGGAUCAAGGACGAGUUCGAUAAUAAUAUUAAUAUUUAAAUUAAUAAUGUCUUUUUAAGAUCUUCACCAGAGAUCAUACAUUUAUUUCAAUUAAAAAGUUCUCUCUUAUCCGCGAAAUACGUGAUUUCCAGAUAUACAUAAAUAUAUAUUGUCCACUUAGCUUAUGCUACUCGUUAACUCGCUUUAGUUUCUCUUAAAGCCCUUGUUCGGUAUCAGGCCUCAAUAUUCGCUUCUCUCCUUGUUCGGCACACCAAGUCUUUUUGUCCAUAAAUCGGCAAUCUCGCCUGACUCCCUUUACUACUCCUCUUCCAAUAUCUUUACGUUCACCACUCUGUAUUAUGCACUUACUAUUUCAACUUCCGACCACGGAAAAAGCCCCGCGUACUUCGUUACCUCUCUUUUAUUCUCUUCUCCCUUGACCCUACUCGAAGAUUUUUCCCUUAUCCACCAAUCCAAAUUCGCCAGGCACCGUCCGGUGGCCAGUGCCCCCUUUUCUGCUUAUUUCGCUACGUUCCUAAUUGUUUCUGAUCAGUUACUUUACCCUCUUUACCGACUAUCGGCAAUUCGUCUCCUAAUUUUCUUACAAAAGUUUCAAUCUCAUGUGGGGAUUAUACAAAUCUCGGCACGACUUCGUGCGUUGGCAGAUGCUCCUCGCAGUGUCAUGUCGUUUAUCGUUGAUUUUAUUCGUACGGGAGUGAAUAAGUGUUCGAUGAUUUUUACGCGCGAUCGAGUUUGCUCGCGGAUACGUCGACGAAUUUUCGUGAUUGCUGCUUUCGUGCUUUUCACCGGACGUAUAGCCGAGUCGCGAAGUUAAUUUGUGCGGAAAACCGAGAUUUGAUCGUCAAUGACUUUUUAGGCAAUAUUCUUCGUCGUUAUUAAAAGUGACAAGUAUGUAUCGUGCAUCAAGUGUCGCGUGUGAAUGUGUUUCAAGUGCAGUCAACGAAGGAAGCGGCAACAGCGGCGAAUGGAUUUUCAGAAUAUCCAACGAUAAAAUGGAUCCUUGGUCUAUGCCAUCUUCAGAUAAGGGCGCACCUCGCGUUUCCUUUCGCCUAUGGAUUCCUCUUUGAGCAAUUUGAAGAGCGGAAAACCUUUCUCACAAAGGGAUACGUGUCUGUCUAAAAAAUGAUGGCAGCGAUCGAGUCUUCUUCAGAGGGAUACAUUAAUCGGACUUUUCGAAUCGGAUUACAUUGUAUUAGGCUGCACGAUUCUUAAG
This is a non-coding RNA of Linepithema humile (Argentine ant), 3000 nucleotides long. The record is from RefSeq and is a predicted model, not a curated record. NCBI's taxonomy places the organism in Eukaryota, Metazoa, Arthropoda, Insecta, Hymenoptera, Formicidae.